This 438-nucleotide ribosomal RNA is filed under the name uncultured Desulfobulbus sp. RNAcentral's name for it is "bacterial SSU rRNA". It matches the Rfam family "Bacterial small subunit ribosomal RNA", at positions 950 to 1382 of the family's 1533-position model. Lineage: Bacteria; Pseudomonadati; Thermodesulfobacteriota; Desulfobulbia; Desulfobulbales; Desulfobulbaceae. The record is from RNAcentral.
UUCGAUGCAACGCGAAGAACCUUACCUGGUCUUGACAUCCCGGAGACCCUUAGGAACUAGGGGUGCUUCCAUCUGGAAGAAUCUGGAGACAGGUGCUGCAUGGCUGUCGUCAGCUCGUGUCGUGAGAUGUUCGGGUUAAGUCCCGCAACGAGCGCAACCCUUGCCUUUAGUUGCCAGCAGUUCGGCUGGGCACUCUAAAGGGACUGCCGGUGUUAAACCGGAGGAAGGUGGGGAUGACGUCAAGUCCUCAUGGCCUUUAUGACCAGGGCUACACACGUACUACAAUGGCCGAUACAAAGGGCAGCGACACUGCGAGGUGAAGCCAAUCCCGUAAAAUCGGUCUCAGUCCGGAUUGGAGUCUGCAACUCGACUCCAUGAAGUUGGAAUCGCUAGUAAUCGUGCAUCAGCCAUGGCGCGGUGAAUACGUUCCCGGGCCUU